This 71-nucleotide transfer RNA is filed under the name Capsaspora owczarzaki ATCC 30864. It matches the Rfam family "tRNA". Rfam says of the family: Transfer RNA (tRNA) molecules are approximately 80 nucleotides in length. Their secondary structure includes four short double-helical elements and three loops (D, anti-codon, and T loops). The record is from Rfam by way of RNAcentral. Lineage: Eukaryota; Filasterea; Ministeriida; Capsasporidae.
GCGCUCGUAGUACAGAGGCAGUAUGUUUCCCUUCCAAGGAAAUGACCCGGUUUCGAUUACCGGCGUGCGCA